UCAGUUCGGAUUGUAGGCUGAAACUCGCCUACAUGAAGCUGGAGUUACUAGUAAUCGCAGAUCAGCAUGCUGCGGUGAAUACGUUCCCGGGUCUUGUACACACCGCCCGUCACACCAUGGGAGUCGGAUAUGCCCGAAGCCGGUGACCUAACCGCAAGGAAGGAGCCGUCGAAGGUGGAGCCGAUGACUGGGGUGAAGUCGUAACAAGGUAGC
Molecule: ribosomal RNA, 213 nt
Filed under: uncultured bacterium
Lineage: Bacteria
Description: partial 16S ribosomal RNA
Rfam family: Bacterial small subunit ribosomal RNA
Source: RNAcentral